This 403-nucleotide ribosomal RNA is filed under the name Eurypharynx pelecanoides (pelican eel). RNAcentral describes it as "partial 16S ribosomal RNA". It matches the Rfam family "Bacterial large subunit ribosomal RNA", at positions 1962 to 2502 of the family's 2925-position model. Lineage: Eukaryota; Metazoa; Chordata; Actinopteri; Anguilliformes; Eurypharyngidae. The record is from RNAcentral.
CAAUCACUUGUCUUUUAAAUAAAGACCUGUAUGAAUGGCACAACGAGGGAUUAACUGUCUCCUUCCCCCAGUCAAUGAAAUUGAUCUGCCCGUGCAGAAGCGAGCAUAAACACAUAAGACGAAAAGACCCUAUGGAGCUUUAGACAAAGUCAACAUGCCUAAAAAACCCCAAAUAACCCAACAGAACAAAAUGUUUAUUAAACCCAACAUGUAAUUGACUAAUGUCUUCGGUUGGGGCGACCAUGGGGGAAAAGAAAGCCCCCACACAGACAAGGAUAAACUCCUAAACCAAGAAAAACACUUCUAAGCAACAGAAAAUCUGACACAAGAUCCGGGUGCAAUGAACCCGAUCAAUGAACCAAGUUACCCUAGGGAUAACAGCGCUAUCCUUUCCCAGAGCCCA